GGCUGGUUCGAAGGUAGUGAGUUAUCUCAAUUGACUGUUCACAGUCAGCUACAGAUCAAACUCCUUGUUCUAUUCCUUCUCACCUUCUCACUAUAGCUCUUUAGUCUUAA
RNAcentral lists this Y RNA (110 nucleotides) under Microcebus murinus (gray mouse lemur). RNAcentral describes it as "Y RNA (ENSMICG00000042650.1)". It matches the Rfam family "Y RNA". Rfam says of the family: Y RNAs are components of the Ro ribonucleoprotein particle (Ro RNP), in association with Ro60 and La proteins. The Y RNAs and Ro60 and La proteins are well conserved, but the function of the Ro RNP is not known. In humans the RNA component can be one of four small RNAs -- hY1, hY3, hY4 and hY5. Lineage: Eukaryota; Metazoa; Chordata; Mammalia; Primates; Cheirogaleidae. The record is from Rfam by way of RNAcentral.